GGGGAAUAUUGGGCAAUGGGGGAAACCCUGACCCAGCAACGCCGCGUGAAGGAAGAAGGUUUUCGGAUCGUAAACUUCUAUCCUUGGUGAAGAUAAUGACGGUAGCCAAGAAGGAAGCCCCGGCUAACUACGUGCCAGCAGCCGCGGUAAUACGUAGGGGGCAAGCGUUGUCCGGAAUGAUUGGGCGUAAAGGGCGCGUAGGCGGCCUGGUAAGUCUGGAGUGAAAGUCCUGCUUUUAAGGUGGGAAUUGCUUUGGAUACUGUCGGGCUUGAGUGCAGGAGAGGUAAGCGGAAUUCCCGGUGUAGCGGUGAAAUGCGUAGAGAUCGGGAGGAACACCAGUGGCGAAGGCGGCUUACUGGACUGUAACUGACGCUGAGGCGCGAAAGUGUGGGGAGCAAACA
This 401-nucleotide ribosomal RNA is filed under the name uncultured Bacillota bacterium. RNAcentral describes it as "bacterial SSU rRNA". It matches the Rfam family "Bacterial small subunit ribosomal RNA", at positions 356 to 774 of the family's 1533-position model. The record is from RNAcentral. Lineage: Bacteria; Bacillati; Bacillota.